This 246-nucleotide ribosomal RNA is filed under the name Staphylococcus aureus. Its description in RNAcentral is "partial 16S ribosomal RNA". It matches the Rfam family "Bacterial small subunit ribosomal RNA", at positions 78 to 316 of the family's 1533-position model. The record is from RNAcentral. Lineage: Bacteria; Bacillati; Bacillota; Bacilli; Caryophanales; Staphylococcaceae.
GCUUGCUUCUCUGAUGUUAGCGGCGGACGGGUGAGUAACACGUGGAUAACCUACCUAUAAGACUGGGAUAACUUCGGGAAACCGGAGCUAAUACCGGAUAAUAUUUUGAACCGCAUGGGUCAAAAGUAAAAGACGGUCUUGCUGUCACUUAUAGAUGGAUCCGCGCUGCAUUAGCUAGUUGGUAAGGUAACGGCUUACCAAGGCAACGAUGCAUAGCCGACCUGAGAGGGUGAUCGGCCACACUGG